This 557-nucleotide ribosomal RNA is filed under the name uncultured freshwater bacterium. Its description in RNAcentral is "bacterial SSU rRNA". It matches the Rfam family "Bacterial small subunit ribosomal RNA", at positions 8 to 607 of the family's 1533-position model. The record is from RNAcentral.
AGAGUUUGAUCCUGGCUCAGAAUGAACGUUGGCGGCCUGGAUUAGGCAUGCAAGUUGAGCGAACCCGCAAGGGGAGCAGCGUAAGGGGCAGUAAGGCAUAGGUACCUACCCCGGGGUCGGGCAUAGCCUGUAGAGAUACAGGGUAAUUCCCGAUGACCUCGAGAGAGCAAAGAUUUAUCGCCCUGGGAGGGGCCUAUGUGAUAUUAGCUAGAUGGUGGGGUAACGGCCCACCAUGGCGAAGAUGUCUAGCGGGUGUGAGAGCACGACCCGCGCCACUGGCACUGAGACACUGGCCAGACACCUACGGGUGGCUGCAGUCGAGGAUCUUCGGCAAUGGGCGCAAGCCUGACCGAGCGAGGCCGCGUGGGCGAUGAAGGCCUUCGGGUUGUAAAGCCCUGUCGAGGGGGAGAAAAGGCAACUUGAUCUAUCCCUGGAGGAAGCACGGGCUAAGUUCGUGCCAGCAGCCGCGGUAAGACGAACCGUGCGAACGUUAUUCGGAAUCACUGNGCUUAAAGGGCGCGUAGGCGGGCUGCCAAGUCCGGNGUGAAAUCCUCCAG